GAGCUUAUGAAACAUAGGAAAAUAAUAUUUUUCAUUUAAUUAAAAUUUAUCAUAGGGUGUAGCAACUUGUUGUGCAUUCAUAUUGGAGCAUUAUUUUCAUUGUAUUGUGUGGAUUUGAUUAAAGGUAAGUUAAACUGAUUUUAAAAUGAUUUUUCAAACUUGUUUUUGAAAUGGCCUUGAAACAAAAGAAAAUAAAAAGAAAAAAAAAGGGAGACAGCUCCCUGGGUCUGGCCGAGGCCCGCUUCCCUUUUCCCUCUGGCCUGCUUCCCCUCCCCCGCGGCCCGCUCCCCUCUUUGGCCCAGUACGCGCAACCGGCCCAGCUCCUGGCCUACCCCGCGCCCUCUCCUUCUCUCUUUCUCUGACCAGUGGACCCCACCCGACAGCCAGCCUUCUUCAACCCCAAGUCGGAGUCGUGCUGGACUCUCGACCGGGUGUCAAAACCCGAUACGCACGGGAUUCCUUGCCAUCCACGGUGAACCGAGCCCUAUAAAACUCCCAAAUCCACCCC
Molecule: long non-coding RNA, 508 nt
Filed under: Sorghum bicolor (sorghum)
Lineage: Eukaryota; Viridiplantae; Streptophyta; Magnoliopsida; Poales; Poaceae
Description: long non-coding RNA (SBIC_LNC011815)
Source: RNAcentral